This 252-nucleotide ribosomal RNA is filed under the name uncultured bacterium. RNAcentral describes it as "partial 16S ribosomal RNA". It matches the Rfam family "Bacterial small subunit ribosomal RNA", at positions 525 to 776 of the family's 1533-position model. The record is from RNAcentral.
ACGGAGGGGGCUAGCGUUGCUCGGAAUUACUGGGCGUAAAGAGCAUGUAGGCGGAUUGCAUAGUCAGGCGUGAAAGCCCCAGGCUCAACCUGGGAACUGCGUUUGAUACUUGCAGUCUUGAGUCCGAGAGAGGGUGGUGGAAUUCCCAGUGUAGAGGUGAAAUUCGUAGAUAUUGGGAAGAACACCAGUGGCGAAGGCGGCCACCUGGCUCGGUACUGACGCUGAGAUGCGAAAGCGUGGGGAGCAAACAGG